This 418-nucleotide non-coding RNA is filed under the name Lachnospiraceae bacterium A2. Its description in RNAcentral is "Bacterial small subunit ribosomal RNA". It matches the Rfam family "Bacterial small subunit ribosomal RNA", at positions 1 to 399 of the family's 1533-position model. Lineage: Bacteria; Bacillati; Bacillota; Clostridia; Lachnospirales; Lachnospiraceae. The record is from Rfam by way of RNAcentral.
UUUUAUGAGAGUUUGAUCCUGGCUCAGGAUGAACGCUGGCGGCGUGCCUAACACAUGCAAGUCGAACGGGGCGCGCAGGCUGAGGCUUUUCGGAGCGGAAGCCUGCGCUGCCCAGUGGCGGACGGGUGAGUAACGCGUGGGCAACCUGCCCUGCACUGGGGGACAACAGCCGGAAACGGCUGCUAAUACCGCAUAUGCCCGCAGCCCCGCAUGGGGCGGCGGGGGAAGCUCCGGCGGUGCAGGAUGGGCCCGCGUCUGAUUAGCUGGUUGGCGGGGCAACGGCCCACCAAGGCGACGAUCAGUAGCCGGCCUGAGAGGGUGGGCGGCCACAUUGGGACUGAGACACGGCCCAGACUCCUACGGGAGGCAGCAGUGGGGGAUAUUGCACAAUGGGGGGAACCCUGAUGCAGCGACGCCG